Molecule: unclassified non-coding RNA, 2736 nt
Filed under: Bombyx mandarina (wild silkworm)
Lineage: Eukaryota; Metazoa; Arthropoda; Insecta; Lepidoptera; Bombycidae
Description: dynamin-1-like protein, transcript variant X2
Source: RNAcentral
UUUACCGGUUGGCCUGUCUUCUGUCUGUUUUGAAUUUUGAUAAAAAAAUUAUCGUUUCGUAACAGAUAAACCAACGUGUCUCUUAGAUUUAGGCAUUUGUAAAAGUGCCUAUAUAUUUUUAAAUAAUGGAAGCCCUUAUACCAGUUAUUAAUAAACUACAAGAUGUGUUCAAUACAGUUGGAGCUGAUGCCAUUCAAUUACCCCAAAUAGCUGUUUUAGGAACCCAGAGCUCUGGUAAAAGUUCAGUGAUAGAAAGCCUGGUAGGUCGCUCAUUUCUGCCUCGGGGUCCUGGGAUAGUCACUCGGCGUCCUCUCAUUCUCCAGUUAGUCUACAGUCCAAAAGAAGGCAAAGAACAUCGCUCAGCUGAAGAAGGUACUCUUAAUCUAGAAGAAUGGGGAAAGUUCCUACACACAAAAGACAAAAUUUACACAAACUUUGAAGAGAUAAGACAAGAAAUAGAAAGAGAAACUGACCGUAUGGCUGGCAGCAACAAGGGAAUAUCUCCAGAACCUAUAAACUUGAAAAUAUAUUCAACCACAGUUGUCAACCUUACUUUAGUCGAUCUACCCGGUAUAACAAAGGUGCCAAUAGGUGAUCAACCAGAAGACAUAGAAAACCAAAUCAGAAACCUUAUUAUUAAGUAUAUCUCUAACCCAAAUUCCAUUAUAUUAGCUGUAACAGCUGCUAAUACAGACAUGGCGACUAGUGAAGCCAUCAAAUUGGCUAAGGAUGUGGACCCUGAUGGCCGAAGGACAUUGGCUGUUGUCACCAAACUUGAUCUCAUGGAUGCAGGAACUGAUGCAAUAGAUAUUCUGUGUGGGCGCGUUAUUCCGGUUAAACUAGGAAUCAUUGGCGUCGUAAAUAGAUCACAACAAGACAUUAUUGAUAAGAAAACCAUCACGGAUGCACUGAAAGAUGAAGCCACUUAUCUCCAAAGGAAGUAUCCCACUAUAGCAACACGUAAUGGAACUCCGUAUUUAGCUAAAACAUUGAAUAGACUACUCAUGCAUCAUAUAAGAGAUUGCCUACCAGAACUUAAGGUGCGUGUUAAUGUAAUGAUAUCACAAUUCCAAUCUCUUCUGAACUCCUACGGCGAAGAUGUGUCGGACAAGUCUCAGACGUUAUUGCAAAUUAUAACGAAAUUCGCGAGUGCUUAUUGUUCGACAAUAGAAGGUACCGCCAGGAACAUUGAGACCACUGAACUUUGUGGCGGCGCCAGAAUCUGUUAUAUAUUCCACGAAACUUUUGGACGCACUUUGGACUCCAUACAUCCUUUAGUAGGUUUGACCCGCAUGGACAUUUUGACCGCGAUCCGCAACGCUACAGGCCCUAGACCGGCUUUAUUCGUCCCUGAGGUAUCUUUUGAGCUUCUAGUAAAGCGACAGAUUAGAAGACUGGAAGACCCGUCGUUACGUUGUGUUGAACUGGUACACGAAGAAAUGCAGAGGAUCGUUCAGCACUGCGGCACCGAAGUCCAACAGGAAAUGCUACGUUUCCCGCGCCUGCACCAGCGCAUCGUCGACGUCGUCACCCAACUGCUGAGGACUAGAUUGCCCCCGACCAAUUCUAUGGUGGAGAACCUGGUGGCUAUCGAGCUUGCGUACAUAAACACGAAGCACCCCGACUUCCACCGCGAGGCGGCGCUGGUAUCCGGCCUGCUGAAGAGCGGCGACGACGACCACAGUCCCGUCUACAGACACAAGACUCCUAGGCCUUCGCCCUCACCGGUAUCCAACUUGAUCAAAAAUGUUCCCGCUAUAACCGAUGGUCACGAGAAAUCUCCACAAAACAUCAGCGAAACACCGUCGACCCCACAGCUCAACGGAAUGCCAGAUAACAAGGCACUGACUCCUCAGAAGCCAGUGAACCUUCUGCCCGAAGUACCGAUCCAAACAUCACGUAAACUGUCAGAACGUGAACAACACGACUGUGACGUCAUAGGUGGACGGAGCGACAACACAACAGUCUUAAACAGUAACGUAAAGACAGUAGACGGCAUCAACGUGAUGCAACUGAAUCAAAUGGGUGAUUUAGUUGAGAGACUGAUCAAGUCUUAUUUCUACAUCGUCCGGAAAUCCAUUCAGGACUCUGUACCAAAGGCUGUUAUGCAUUUCUUAGUGAAUUUUGUGAAGGACAAUCUGCAGUCCGAGCUCGUCACUCACCUGUACAAGUCUGACCAGGCCGAGAGCAUGCUCAACGAGUCUGAGCACAUCGCACAGCGGAGGAAGGAGGCCGCCGACAUGCUAAAGGCUUUACAACGUGCCGGUCAAAUCAUAAGCGAGAUCCGCGAGACGCACAUGUGGUGAUGGUCCUCAGACGAACGAGACUCUAGUCUGUGAAAUAGUGAAAUGAGCGGACAGCUCUGUACAUAUACUGUUUAGUUUAAAAUCACAUUGGAUAUGUGUAUAUUAGCCUUUUUUUUACAUGAGACAUACAUUUGCUCUGAGGUUCUGCAGCUCUCUUCAACGUUACAAAUACAUGACAAAUAUGUCGAGAACCAAAAAAAAAAUGAAAUGAGUCCGAGCAGAAAUUAAUUAAGCAAAUGCAUGUCAAUUUUUAAUUGCCGGUGUGACACGAUUUAUUUCUUGAUAAGAAGAGCACCCGUAUGUCUGUGUGCUUAGUGCGAGUUUUUUAACUUCUCGAUCAUGUAAAAGUUAACUCAGAAGGGUGGCUCAUUUGCGUUCUAGAUGUCCAUGGGCUCCAGUAACCACUUAACACCAGGUGGGCUGUGAGCUC